RNAcentral lists this ribosomal RNA (366 nucleotides) under uncultured bacterium. RNAcentral describes it as "partial 16S ribosomal RNA". It matches the Rfam family "Bacterial small subunit ribosomal RNA", at positions 338 to 696 of the family's 1533-position model. The record is from RNAcentral.
CCUACGGGGGGCAGCAGUAGGGAAUCUUCCACAAUGGGCGAAAGCCUGAUGGAGCAACGCCGCGUGCGUGAAGACGGUCUUCGGAUCGUAAAACCCUGUUGUUAGAGAAGAAAGUCCGUGAGAGUAACUGUUCACGUUUCUACGGUAUCUAACCAGAAAGCCUCGGCUAACUACGUGCCAGCAGCCGCGGUAAUACGUAGGUGGCUAGCGUUAUCCGGAUUUAUUGGGCGUAAAGGGAACGCAUGCGGUCUUUUAAGUCUGAUGUGAAAGGCUUCGGCCUAACCGGAGAAGUGCAUUGAAAACUGGGAGACUUGAGUGUAGAAGAGGAGGGUGGAAUUCAAGGUGUAGCGGUGAAAUGCGUAGAGA